AGAGUUUGAUCCUGGCUCAGAAUCAACGCUGGCGGCGCGCCUAACACAUGCAAGUCGAACGAGAAAGCCCGCAAGGGUGAGUACAGUGGCGUACGGGUGAGUAACACGUGGAUCAUCUACCCUCUAGUGGGGAAUACCGCUGGGAAACCGGCGACAAUACCGCAUAAUCUCGAGAGAGGAAAGCAGCAAUGCGCUGGAGGAGGAGUCCGCGGCUGAUUAGCUAGUUGGUGAGGUAAUGGCUCACCAAGGCUCAGAUCAGUAGCCGGCCUGAGAGGGCACACGGCCACACUGGCACUGAAACACGGGCCAGACUCCUACGGGAGGCAGCAGUGGGGAAUCUUGCACAAUGGGGGAAACCCUGAUGCAGCGACGCCGCGUGAGCGAUGAAGCCCUUCGGGGUGUAAAGCUCUUUCGGCAGGGAAGAUGAUGACGGUACCUGCAGAAGCAGCUGCGGCUAACUACGUGCCAGCAGCCGCGGUAAUACGUAGGCAGCAAGCGUUGUUCGGAGUUACUGGGCGUAAAGGGUGUGUAGGCGGUUGGAUAAGUGUGGUGUGAAAUCUCCCGGCUUAACUGGGAGGGUGCGCUACAAACUGUCUGACUAGAGUGUGGGAUGGGAGAGUGGAAUUCCUGGUGUAGCGGUGAAAUGCGUAGAUAUCAGGAGGAACACCGGUGGUGUAGACGGCUCUCUGGACCAUAACUGACGCUGAGACACGAAAGCGUGGGUAGCAAACAGGAUUAGAUACCCUGGUAGUCCACGCCCUAAACGAUGCAUAUUUGGUGUGGGUCAUUCAUUUGAUCCGUGCCGGAGCUAACGCGUUAAAUAUGCCGCCUGGGGAGUACAGUCGCAAGGCUGAAACUCAAAGGAAUUGACGGGGGCCCGCACAAGCGGUGGAGCAUGUGGGUUCAAUUCGACGCAACGCGAAGAACCUUACCUAGGCUCGAACGGCUUUAGACAAUCCUCAGAAACGGGGACUUCCCGCAAGGGACUGGAGUCGAGGUGCU
Molecule: ribosomal RNA, 1002 nt
Filed under: uncultured bacterium
Lineage: Bacteria
Description: bacterial SSU rRNA
Rfam family: Bacterial small subunit ribosomal RNA
Source: RNAcentral